CAUCACCAUUAGACAGGAGACCCUUUCCCUCUGCCCUAUGCCCAGCCCAUUUAAUCCCCAAAACCAUCGUCUCUUCCAAACCCAGACCAAGGCCAGGAGAGGGAUCACCCCCCAGC
This is a long non-coding RNA of Haliaeetus leucocephalus (bald eagle), 116 nucleotides long. RefSeq lists it as uncharacterized. The transcript has 3 exons. NCBI's taxonomy places the organism in Eukaryota, Metazoa, Chordata, Aves, Accipitriformes, Accipitridae. The record is from RefSeq and is a predicted model, not a curated record.